CAAUCUAUAUUGAUUCUGAGAGAACCGGUGUAGAAUGAUAAUCAUUCUAAGACGGCCUUCGACAUGUGACCGUUUUAGAAUCGUUAGCAUUCUACAUCGGUCGUCUCAGAACCGAUGUAGAAUG
Molecule: microRNA precursor, 124 nt
Filed under: Glycine max (soybean)
Lineage: Eukaryota; Viridiplantae; Streptophyta; Magnoliopsida; Fabales; Fabaceae
Description: miR4406 stem-loop (gma-MIR4406)
Source: miRBase by way of RNAcentral